GACGAACGCUGGCGGCGUGCUUAACACAUGCAAGUCGAGCGGUAAGGCCCUUUCGGGGGUACACGAGCGGCGGACGGGUGAGUAACACGUGGGUGACCUGCCCUCAGCUCUGGGAUAAGCCUGGGAAACCGGGUCUAAUACCGGAUAUGACUCCAUGACGCAUGUUGUGGGGUGGAAAGCCUUGUGCGGCUGAGGAUGGGCCCGCGGCCUAUCAGCUU
Molecule: ribosomal RNA, 218 nt
Filed under: uncultured bacterium
Lineage: Bacteria
Description: partial 16S ribosomal RNA
Rfam family: Bacterial small subunit ribosomal RNA
Source: RNAcentral